AUGGAGAAAAGUCUGGCAGUACGUUGCUGGUACCAUGGCUUUCAGCUGGGGCAGCAUCCUGUGAUUCACAGGGUAGGAAAUGACUCAGGCUGGAGAAAUGUUAUAGUGAAGAUUGUUGAUGCUCUUCAGGCUGACAGAAAAAGAAUUGCUCAAAUAAAAGGUGAGAGUUUCUGCAGGAAGCACUUUCUGAUGGGAAAAGGGUUCGCAUUCCAGGAAGGAUAACUAAGGAAAACUGACAGAAAAUCACGCAAACUAGGCAAAUAUUUUGGAAAAGGCUUGGCAAAGAGGGAUUAAUGGGAUUCAAGUCCCAGUGAAAAGUGGAAUACGGACAGGACUGAGAUAUAGAUAGUCUGGUGUGCUUUGGAGGGACCAGUCUGAGGAUUUCUCUUUGCAGAGAGAACGGGAAUAGCUUGUGAAACUGCACUGGCCCAUCCUGCUUAGGGGACUUGGAGUCGGAAGCAGCAGCAGAAAACAAAGGAAAUGAAACACAAGUCAAAAAAGAAGGAACAUUUUCUUUCCCCUUUCUACUCAUUAAAAAGAAAAAGAAAUUUGAAAUAUCCAACAGCAGGAAACAACACAGCAUGAAAAACUUGUGUAAUUUGACGGUCUUUUUCCUUACCUUUGUGAUUUGUAACAUCAAUGAUCAUUGCAAUGGAGGCAGCUUUUAAACUAUAACUUAUUUUCACUGAUUGUGGCAACUUGCUUCAUUACUUCUGUUAAUUUUCACUGUUUGAACAAAAUGUUCCUUCAUUUCUGCUGCCUAAAACUUAGUCAGCCUAAGAUCCUGAUUCACAUGCAAGCAGGGCCUUAGGUAUUUCCCAGUCCAUACAAGCGUGGAAUUAAUCCUAUCUCCUUAUAAACCCUGGGCCCUUCCACUAGCAUGGUGGGAACGUGGAGCCACUUCUUUUCUGGCUCUAGUUGACCCUACCAAGGUUUGGGGUAAAUUAGGUAACUAUGAGGCCUCUAGGUUUAGGAUCUUGGUGGGUUGAUGUGGCAGAAGUAGGGCUGAUCUGUCUUUUACACAGAAGCAGGCACUGAUUAAGUGGUUAAAAGCAACGCUGGACGGUUUUCUGGAACGGAAUGUGUCUGAAGGGUGGUGAGGAUGUUUGAUACUGGAUGAUGAGGAAGUUUUGCCAAGGCGUUGGUGAGGUCUCACUGUCAAGGAUGUUAAUGAAAUGUAACUACAGUCACCGUAAUCUGAAAGGAUUUUGAAAAAAAUCUUUGUAAGGUUAUUGUGCUCCGAAUGGUGUUAAAAUAUGGAAUUUAUGUAAAUGUAAAUGAACCGAUGUUUAGUUAUUGGAAUAAGAUACUGCAGAUGUAUUGUGGGAUAUAUAUAUAAAUGAAUGUGUAAUCUAGAUGAUUUGGGUUGUGAAAGAUGGUGCUUUGGCCAUCUGUCAGUGAUUUUCUUUUACCAGGCUACGGAAAUUGUGGAUAUGGAAAGAAAUAACAAUUUAUUAGCAAGUUUUGGAUUGUAUGAAUGUGUCUUGAUUUUUGUAAUAAAGAAUGUUAACUCUACUUCUUAAGUUCUGCUAAAGUAAGCCUGUGACUUUCAGUAAUGAUUAUAGUUUGGG
Molecule: long non-coding RNA, 1571 nt
Organism: Accipiter nisus (Eurasian sparrowhawk)
Lineage: Eukaryota; Metazoa; Chordata; Aves; Accipitriformes; Accipitridae
Source: Ensembl